AGGAUUUUAAGUUAUAUAAACUAAAGGCCUUCAAAGCCUAAAAAAAAGAACCUCCUUUUAAAUCCUA
This 67-nucleotide transfer RNA is filed under the name Scylla paramamosain (green mud crab). RNAcentral describes it as "tRNA-Trp". Lineage: Eukaryota; Metazoa; Arthropoda; Malacostraca; Decapoda; Portunidae. The record is from RNAcentral.